GAAUCUGAAACAUCAGAACAGAAGGCAGUAAGGAAAGGGCUGGUGCAGCGGGGCCACUGGCACAUCUGUUCCCCUCGGCUCUAUUAACACCUGCUGUUCUUCAGUCUGAGCCCCUCACCUCCCCAGAAGACAAGAAGGGGUCGGAGUCCCCGGUUACGCAUGCCCAUUGGACCGUGAAGGAUUGUGGUGCCUGUUCAAACAUCAAACCAAGAGGGAGCUGCAGGACAAGGAGGAAACAGGAAACACGUCUGAAGACACUCAGAGGCACCUACUGAAGCCGGAAGCAGGUGCACUUUGCAAAGUGGAGAAGGAGAGACCUCAGGGGCACCUGGGGGGCCAGGCUGACAGGAGACAAGGACCCCAGGGAGCCAGGGCGCCAGGGCUCAGCAGGUGGGCUGUGGACUGGCCACGCCCAUGAGGGGAGCGGGGGGGUCAGGGGGGACCUCUAGACCGCCUGGCCCCCUCUCCCCCCAAAGGAGACCCGGGUGACUCUGGAGAGGCUGAAGGGUGACCCAUGUGGGGAGGUGAGGCCCGGCCACUUUCCCUGCCCCUUCCUGGAGUGUUCCCUCCUGCAGGAGGCCGGACAAUCCCCCCUGAGGAAGCUGCCAAGCUAGGAGGCAGGAGCAAUGGAUGCUGACCUCUGGGGCUCCCCUAGCGAGGCUAUGGGGCCACGGCGGGGGGCGGGGGGUCACCCUACUUGAGCCACAUCUGUAGAGCCAGACUCUGCCUUCUUGCCGGAGCCUCCAGCCAGUGUUUUAAUGUUCUCCUUUUAAGGAGUCACAUGUGGUCCAGGGUCAGCUGACUUUCCCAGAGAUCCUCUGUGAUAUUGUGAUUUAUAAUAAGAAAUAUAUAUUUAGGAGUUCCCACUGUGGCUCAGCAGGUUAAGAGCCUGACUAGGAGGAUGCAGCUUCAAUCCCUGGCCUCACUCAGGGAGGAUCCAGCAUUGCCAUGAGCUGUGGUGUAAGUUCCAGACGUGGUUCAGAUCCCAUGUUGCUGUGGCUAUGGUGUAGGCUGGAGGUUGCAGCUCCAAUUCAGGUCUCCUAGCCUGGAAACUUCCAUAUGCUGCGGGUGCAGCCCUAAAUAAAUAAAUAAAUAAAUAAAUAAAUAAAUAAAUAAUAUAUUAUAUUAUAUCUAUAUAGGUCUUUGGGAAUUCCCAUUGUGGCUAAGCGGUUAACGAAUCCGACUAACAUCCAUGAGGCUGUGGGUUCGAUCCUUGGCCUCGACCAGUGGGUUAAGGAUCCAGCGUUGCUGUGAGCUGUGGUGUGGGUCGCAGACGUGGCUCAGAUCCUGCAUUGCCGUGGCUCUGGCGUAGGCCGGUGGCCACAGCUCCGAUUCGACCCCCAGCCUGGGAACCUCCAUAUGCCAUGGGUGUGGCCCUAAAAAAAUAUAUACGUAUAUAUGUCUUCAUCCUGUUUAUGGCACAGAGCUCCUAAAACCCUUGGAAUUUCUUAAGUGACAAGUGUGAUAGAUGUGUCUCUUGCUAUAAUAACAAAGUAAAUUUGGAAAAGCAUCUACAGAUGGGGGCUGUUCGCCAGGAGACUCAGCCUUGCAACUGAGUGGUUAGCGGGUUGGAACUCUCGGUCCCCGUGUCCCCCAAACGGCUCAACCUCUGGGAAUGGGAGAGGGGUUAGAGGCUGAAUCUGUCUCUAGUGGCCAAUGAUCUAAUCAAUCAUGUCUGUAUAGUGAAGCCUCUACCAAGGCCGCCAAGGACAGGGUUUGGAGGCCUUCCAGGCUGGUGAACGAGGGGAGACCCGGGGAGAAUGGUGCUCUGGGAGAGGCACGCAAGCUCCGUGUCCGUCCCCAUACCCGGGCCCGUGCGUCUCUUUCAUCUGGAAGUUCCAGAGUUAUAUCCAGUAAUAAUAAGUCAGGGAUCUAUUUAAUUAAUUAAGUAGUUAAUUACUUUUUUUUGUCUUUCUAGGGCCGCAUCCACAACCUAUGGAAGUUCCCAGCCUAGGAGUUGAAUUGGAGCUGCAGCUGCCGACCUACGCCACAGCCACGGCAAUGCGCCAGAUCCGAGCCGCAUCUGCGACUGUGUCCACUGCAGGUGGCACUGCCACAACGGGAGCUCCAUCCAGUAAUUUAUUAAGUAAAUGGGUUUCCUAAGUUCUGGGAGCCGCUCUAGCAAGUUGAUGUCAAACCCAAGGAAGCAGGGCAUCACAGAACCUCCAAUUUAGAGCCAGCUGGUCAGAGCCCAGGUGACAGCCUGGCUUUCAACUGGCAUCUGAAAGAGUGUCGUGAAGAGAGUCAGUCUCGUGGCAUCUGCCUCUGUCUCCAGGAGAGAGUGUCAGAGUUGGGUGGAAGUGUAGGACCCCCAGCUGGUGUCAGAGGGUUAUCUGAAGGGGUGCCUGGGUCCCCACCCCUAAACCUGACACACGCCCUGGAAGCUGGGGAUGGGAAUUUUAGCCUCUGAACGGAAGAGACGGGAACAAAGUAAACCAACGACCUGGAGGACCUUGAGACAGCGGGAAGGGUGGGGCAGGACACAGACAGCACCAGCCCUAGAAUUCCUGUGUUCAGAGAGCCAGGGGGCCUUGCGUCCACGCUACUGGCUGCCUUCGAAGGCCAGUUCAGAAGGCAAGAGAGAUGAGAGACACAAACAAGGCAUCCAGUGGGAGGGUGGGGGGGAAGCGCCCCUGUUCACGGCUCUGGCGGCUGCCCCUGCACCUGCUGUGUCGCCUGCUGCUCUGUCUCUGCUCUUCCUGGCGUGCUGAACACAUCCUCAGCGGACUCUCGCUUCUCUCUCACUGCCAACCACCUCCGUCGGCGUGGGCCUCUGGAACGCAUAAUAUUUCUGUUCUCCGCGCUGCAAAGUGGAGGUAGAUAAGGGGUGGGGACUGAGUGUUGGGUCAGCCAGGCACCUGGCACAUUGACCUGGCCAUUCUCCUCCCGAGGACGCCCGGCUUGUCUGCCACCCCGGAUCCCGUGAUGGGCACCCUCUUUUUGGAGCCCCAGGAGGGUCUCCGGGAUGCCUUCCCUGGAGCAGAGUUCCUGGAUGGUUGGCGGGUACCUGCCUCAUUUCAUGAGUGCGCCAGAUUGCUUUCCCCGAUGGCUGAAUCCAGUUUAUUCUCCUCCUGGUGGAGCAGGAGGGGUCUCUUUUCUUCACAUCUUAGCGAGCACUGGGCAUCAUACCCCUUUCUAAUGUGUGUGUGUGACUCUAUUGGGUUCAACGCGGGCUCUCCUUUAAAAGCUGUGCUUUAUCCUGUUACCAGUGAGGGCGAGCAUGUCUCAUAGACUCACUCGCCAGCUGGGCUUCCUUUCCUACAAUUCCCAUUCAUCCGCGUCUGUCUGUGAGGGUUUCCGACUUGCAUCAGUCGUUCCUUGGAAUUCCCCGCACUCUCUUUAGAGUUUUAGGUGUGGCUUCAUCACUUCAUGUGCAGGUGGUAUCUGUCGCUGAACAGGGUCCUUAAUAUUUUUAUCAUCAAAUCUAACAUGUCUUCACCUUGUGGUUUGUGCUUUUAUUUAAGAAGACUUUACUUACUGUAAACUAAAAACUGAAAAUAGAAUUACCGUUUGAUCCAGCAAUCCCACUCCUGGGCAUCUAUCCAGAGAAAACCAUGACUCGCAGAGACACAUGUAUUCUGAUGUUCACUGCAGCACUAUUUGCAAUAGCCAAGACCUGGAAACAACCUAAAUGUCCAUCGACAGAGGAGUGGAUCAAGAAGAUGUGGUCCAUAUACACAAUGGAAUACGACUCAGCCACUAAAGGGAACGAAAUACCGGCAUUUUCCUAGAAACUCUCAUGCUAAGUGAAGUCAGCCAUACAAUGAGACACCAACAUCAAAUGCUUUCACCAACAUGUGGAAUCUGAAAAAAGGACAGACGGAACUGCUUUGCAGAACAGAUACUAACUCACAGACUUUGAAAAACUUAUGGUUUCCAAAGGAGACAGUUGGGGGGGGGGGAUGCGCUGGGGUUGUGGGAUGGAAAUCCUAUAAAAUUGGAUUGUGAUGAUCAUUGUACAACCAUAAAUGUAAUAAAUUCAUUGAGUAAC
Molecule: long non-coding RNA, 3991 nt
Filed under: Sus scrofa (pig)
Lineage: Eukaryota; Metazoa; Chordata; Mammalia; Artiodactyla; Suidae
Description: lncRNA (ENSSSCG00025007475.1)
Source: RNAcentral